RNAcentral lists this ribosomal RNA (425 nucleotides) under uncultured bacterium. RNAcentral describes it as "bacterial SSU rRNA". It matches the Rfam family "Bacterial small subunit ribosomal RNA", at positions 356 to 773 of the family's 1533-position model. The record is from RNAcentral.
GGGGAAUAUUGCACAAUGGGCGCAAGCCUGAUGCAGCCAUGCCGCAUGUAUGAAGAAGGCCUUCGGGUUGUAAAGUACUUUCAGCGAGGAGGAAGGUGCUGAGGUUAAUAACCUCAGCAAUUGACGUUACUCGCAGAAGAAGCACCGGCUAACUCCGUGCCAGCAGCCGCGGUAAUACGGAGGGUGCAAGCGUUAAUCGGAAUUACUGGGCGUAAAGCGCACGCAGGCGGUCUGUCAAGUCGGAUGUGAAAUCCCCGGGCUCAACCUGGGAACUGCAUCCGAAACUGGCAGGCUAGAGUCUUGUAGAGGGGGGUAGAAUUCCAGGUGUAGCGGUGAAAUGCGUAGAGAUCUGGAGGAAUACCGGUGGCGAAGGCGGCCCACUGGACAAAGACUGACGCUCAGGUGCGAAAGCGUGGGGAGCAAAC